This 6388-nucleotide long non-coding RNA is filed under the name Sus scrofa (pig). RNAcentral describes it as "lncRNA (ENSSSCG00000047455.1)". The record is from RNAcentral. Lineage: Eukaryota; Metazoa; Chordata; Mammalia; Artiodactyla; Suidae.
CUUAGUUGUGUUUUUAUAGCUAAAAGCAUUGAAAUCAGAAGUAAUGUAAUUUUAACAUAUUAUUAGUUAAAGUUAAUCUAAAAGUAGUAAUCUUCAUUUUAUAAAAAUACAGCGUUAGAACUGCCCUGUCUGUAUGAACCAAAAGAAAAAACGAAAAGAUAAGUAUUUCAGAGGACUGCCAUUUGAAAGUAAUGGGGCUGUUGAAAUUAUUUUAAGUCAGAUUUACAUCUCUUUGCUCAUAGUGAAACGCAACAUAGUAUUGAAUUUCAGUUUGUUAUCUGUUCUUUGCCCAAAGCACAUUAGGAAAAUAUUAUUACAGUUUGAGUAAUUUUCACAUCAUGGGAACAUGUAUAAUGUUACAUAAUUAUUGUAUGCAAUGACCUAAAGCAUUUCAGUUUUACGAGAGGAUAUCAUAACCCAAAAUAUAAACUUUGAAAUUUAAAAUGUAUUGUUGGUGCAGUUUUAGAUUAUAGGUGGCAAAACUGGAGUAAUGUAUCUGCUUUCAAAAAGGAAUUUCAAAUCUUAUAAAUAAAAAAUGAUGCCUUUUCUUCUAAUGAAUUGACAUCAGUGAGGCUUUUAUAAAGGACUUCCAGAUCUGUUGUUUGUUCAUUUGAUAUGUCCAUAAUUACAGUAUUUAGAGCAUCUCAUACUGUGUUUGUUUCUACAUAUUGAACUUUCGAAUGACAAUUACACAAAUGGUAGAGCCAAAGACAAACCAUACUGGCAGUGGAAGUGUGGGCCCCCUCGAGUGGUCCUGUGAGAGUGUUGCCCGAGAAUUGUUAAGGAGGAACUGCUCAGAAAUAUGCCUUAGAGAUUAUCAUGUUUUAGAAAAAUUAGUGACCUAGGCCCUGACCUAAAAUUAUUUCUCAUUAUUUUAUUUUGUUAUACUCUUUAUUAGCUUUUACAUAACACUUUCAUUUUAUAUAAUUUUAGUAGAAAAAAUAGCUAAUAAUAUGCUUCUAUAAGGGACACAUCCUAUUCAUGAUUUCUUUACUCUUAUUUCUUAUUUCAAAUUAUUUUAACUGUCCCUUUUGUAAAUCUCACAUUAGCAAGUUACCUUAAAUCUCUUUUUUAUUUAUUAAGCAUGUUAGAAUUUAAGUUAAAUUUAUUCAGUCAUUGCAGCCAGGCCAGAGGUAAGGUCAUCUGUGAGUAACAAAACCUUCUCCAUUAUGACAUUUUGGUUGUAACCUAAAGAAUAAGAAGGAACAAGUGAGGAAAAGAGAGAAGGAAUGUCCCACCCGGAAGAGAACAACUGAGCAAUUCUCACAUUGGCCAACUUUGGACAUCCUUCUGAUGAGGAGGUAUCUAGUGAUUUUGGAAUAAGUCUGUUAUAAGUUAUUAAGCAAAUGACACUGCUUAAUAGCUCAUCAGCAAAUAAAGAGAAAAUAAAUUUUUGAUGGUUGAAAUAUAGACAAUAGGCAUGUUUUAUCUUUAAUAAGAGCAAAAUAUGUUUUAUCGGUUUUGUUAGAAAUAAGCAGCCUUAAGAAAAUCUUGCACUCUGUGAAUGAGUUUGACUAUCUGCCAAGUCAAUUAAUUUGUGCCAAAGGAGCCAAGGACAUAUAAUGGGCAAAGCAGAGUCUCUUUAAGAAAUAGUGUUCGGGAAACUAGAUAGCCAUAUGUAAAAGGAUGAAACUGGACUACUGUCUUACACCAUAUACCAAAAUGAACUCAAAAUGGAUUAGAGACUUGAAUGUGAGAUCUGAAACUAUAGAACUCCUAGCAGAACACAUAGGUGGUAAGCUCCUUGACUUUGGUCUUGGUGAUUUUUUCAAUCUGACGCAAAAAGCAAAAGUAACAAAAGCAAAAUAAGUAAGUGGGACUACAUAAGACAAAAAAGAUCCAUCACAGCAGAGGAAACCAUCAACAAAAUGAGAAGGCAACCUACACAAGGGCAGAAAAUCCUUGAAAAUCACAUGCAGUAGUCCCUCAUCUACGUUUUUGCUUUGUAAGGUUUCAGUUAACCAAGGUCAACUGCAGUCUGAAAUGUUAAAUGGAAAAUUCCAGAAAUAUGCGAUUCCUACAUUUUAAAUAGUAUGCCAUUCUGAGUAGCUAGAUGAAAUCUCAUACCAUCACGUUCUGUCCCAUCCAGUACAUUAAUCACCCCUUUGGACGGUAUACACUGCUCCUUAAUCAUUUAGCCAACCUGGUAGUUAUCCUGAUUUUGAGUUCUCAGUGUUGACUGUUGCAGUGCUUGUGUUCAGGUGGCCUUUAUUUGACUUAAUAAUGGCACCAAAGUGCAACAGAAAUGAUGCUGGCAGGUCGGGUAUGCCAGAGAGAAGCUAUACAGUGUUUCCUUUAAGUGAAAAGCAGAAUGUUCUCAACUUAAUUAGAAAAGGAAAUAUGUUAAACUGGUAAGACCUGUGUUAAGAACGAGUCUUCUGUUCAAGAAAUCGUGAAGCAGGAAAAAAUAUCCAUGCUACUUUUAUAUGGCACUUCAAAUUGCAAGAGUUAUGGACACAGUGCUUGGUAAAGGCUUAUUGAAGGUGGAAAAGGUCUUAAAUUUGUCCAAUGAGAUAUUUUGAGAGAGAGAGACCACAAACAGAAAAAUUUUGUUACAGUGUAUUGUUAUAAUCGUUUUACUUUAGUUGUUAAUCUCUUACUGUGCCUCAUUUAUGAAUUAAAACAGAUAUGUACAUAUAGGAAAAAACAGUUUGUGUUUUGUUAUACUAUCCAUGGUUUCAGGCACUCCCUGGGAAUCUUGGGAGGGACUGCUGUAUCUGAUAAGGGGUUAAUAUCCAAAAUAUACAAAGAACUCAUAUGACUCAACAAAACAAAAACCACUCUGAUUAGAAGUGAACAAAAGAUCUGAAAAGACAUUUUUCCAAAGAAGUCAAACACAAGGUUAACAAGUGCAUGAAAAGAUACUCAGUAUCACUGAUCAUCACCGGAUAGCAAAUCAAAACCACAAUGAGAUAUCAUCUCACACCUGUUCGGAUGGCUUUUAUGGAAAUGAGAGAAACUAAUAAGUGUUGGUGAGGAUGUAAGGAGAAGGGAAUGUUUGUGCACUGUUGGUAGGAAUGUAUAUCUGUACAAUUGUAGAUUUAUGGAAAUGUAUGGAAAACAACAUGAUGUUACUCAGAAAAUAAAAAAAAUAGAAUUACCAUAUGAUUUAGCAAUUUUACUUCUGGGUAUUUAUCUGAAGAAAAUGAAAACCCUAAUUUGAAAAGAUAUAUGCGCCCCCAUGUCCAUUGCAGUAUUAUUUAUUUAUUUUUAGGGCUGCAGGUGUGGCAUUUGGAAGUUCCCAGGCUAGGUAUUGAAUUGGAGCUGUAGCUGAUGGCCUUCACCACAGCCAUUGCAACGCCAGAUCCAAGAUGUAUCUGUGACCUAUACUGCAGCUCGCGGCAAUGCCAGAUCAUUAACCUACUGAGUGAGACCGAGGAUUGAACCCGCAUCCUCAUGGAUACUAGCUGGGUUUUUUCCUCUGUGCCACAGUGGAAACUCCCAAUUGCAAUAUGAUUUAAAAUAGCCAGAUAUAGAAUUAUCUAAUAUAGAAUAUAUUAGAUAAUUCUAAUAUAGAAUUACCUAAGUGUCCAUUUAAGGGUGAAUGGAUAAAGAUGUGAUAUAUAUCACAUAGAUAAUGGAAUAUUAUUUAUCCAUAAAAAAGAUUGAAAUCUCGCCAUUUGUGACAACAUGGAUAGAUCUAAAGGACAUUUUGCUAAGUAAGAUAAGUCAGUAAAAGAUAAAUACCAUAUGAUCUCACUUCUAUGGGAAACCUAAAACAGUAUAUUUAUAAAUCAAACACAUAGAUACAGAGAACAGAUUGGCGGUGGUCAGAGAUGGGGGGUCGAGAGCACAGGCAAAAUGGGUGAAGGGGGUCAAAAGGUACAAACUCAUUAUAGAAUAAAUAAAUUGUGGGUGUAUAAUGUACAGCUUAGUGACUAUAGUUAAUGAUACCUUAUUGCAAAUAUGAAAGUUGCUAAGAGUAAAUCUUAAGGGUUCUCAUCACAAGAAAAAAUAAUUGUAACUGUGGGUGAAGUUUUUUUAAUUGCCAUUUUAAAUUACUCAGUUGUUAAAAUUUUUUCUUUCUUUCUUUCUUUCUUUCUUUCUUUCUUUCUUUCUUUCUUUCUUUCUUUCUUUCUUUUUUUUUGCUUUUUAGGGCUGCACCUGUGACACAUGGAGGUUUCCAGGCUAGGGGUCAAAUCAGAUCUGCAGCUGCUGGCCUACACCACAGCCACAGCAGCAUGGGAUCCAAGCCUUGUCUGUGACCUUCACCACAGCACAUGGCAAUGCCAGGUCCUUGACCCACUGAGUGAGACCAGGGAUUGAACCUGCCACCUCAAGGUUACUAGUCAGGUUCAUUUCUGCUGCGCCACAACGAGAAUUCCUGUUUCUGUGUUUCUUUUCUUUUUUUUUUUUUCUUUUUUUAAAUUAGUAUAUAGUUGAUUUACAGUGUGGUGUCAAUUUCUGCCGUAUAGCAUAAUGAUCCAGUCAUACAUAUGUAAAUUCUUUUUCUCAUACUAUCUUCCAUCAUGUUCAAGAAAUAGGACCUAGUUCCCUAUGCUGUACAGUAGUAGGAUGUUUUGCUUUUCUCUAGUUGCCUUUGAUGAUAUGAACUCAAAGUAGUUGGAAUCUACCUUGGUUUAAUCUAAAAUGGCAAAUUUGGUUAUGACGAUUUCACUGAAGCAAACAAAACUCGGAACACUAUGUGUGUUUUAUGUAUGUAUGUAUGUAUGUAUUCAUGUAUUUAUUUAUUCACCACCCAUGAGUUUUAGAUACUAGACAUCUCAAUGGCAGCAUUCCUAACUGUAUUAUCUAUGGCAAGAUGUCUCUGUUGUCAAAGCCAUUCUCUUUAAAUGUGUGAAAUAAAACAGUCCUUUACUAUGAAAGGGUAUCUUAUUUUAGAAACUGCUAAAAUAGAGAUCACUGUAAUAUCAUGUCCUCUAGUCAUUGAUGAAAAUUAUCUUUAUGCUGGGUACCUGCUGAAAUGUGUUGACACUGAUUUGACGAAAGUGUUCAUGUUUUUAAAAAAGAAUCUAAAUAUUCUUUUGGAAAAGUAUCUUGUAGUGGAGAUUAACAGACUCUUGUCAGAAAGACUGAGUUCAGUUGUUGGUUUUGUUCCUCAGUGUAACCAUGGACAAAUUAUCUAAAUUUUGAGCCCCGGAUUUCUAAUAUUGAAAAUGAUGAAAUAGCAGUACCUUCAUGAAAGGCUUGCAGUAAAGGUUAAAUACAGAAUGUGUAGUGACUGAUAUGUGAUGAUAGUUUGAUUUUUAGUAAAUUUUGGUUAUUUUUCAAUGCAUUAAAUCUAUUAUACAGUUUUGAUGAGUAUAAUACUAAAUAGACUGUAUAGAUGCUGCAAAAUCAUGUGUAAUUGCUUCAGCCAUUUAUCUCAUAAUUUAAUUGGGAAGCUGGCACAGAGUUGGAAUAAUUAGCAAAGGUAAGACCAGUAUAUUAGUUAAUUUUCACGUAAUACCACAUGUAAAUGGCCAACAAGUGAGGUAACAAUAUAGUUCACAUAUAUUAAGGAAGACUUAAUUGAAGGAAGUAAUGUGUAUAUCAUUUGUAUUAAUUGAAUUUAUAAUUUGUUAUAGGUGACAGUAUAAAUAGAGCUAUACUCUCUGCAGAGAUGUUGAUACUUAAGAGUCAUUUAUUUUAAAAGUAUACUCAGGUUAAAAAGUAAGGUAGAAAUUAUUCAAGCAGUGUAAAGCCAUGAAUCUAUUUGAGAUCCUUUUUUACAGUGUCGUAGGUAUUCAAUUACCUUAGUCACAAAUGUCUCUGAAAAACCACAACAUUUGCAAAUCAGAGAGCUUGUCAUAAGGAACAUAUCCAAAAGCAUAAACAUUUUUACUAUAACUUGUCAGCUGUAUGUGCAGAUGGUAGAAAGCUUGUUUUCUGAAAUGUGAUGGAAAGUAUAAAAAGAAAUUUGACAUUAUUUUUUUUUUCAUUUUUGAAUUUGACUAUCCAAAUAGCUAAAAAGCUGAGAAAUCAAACAGUGAUUUUAUUUUAAGUUCCUGUAAAAAUCAGUGCCCAGGAUUUUUGGAGGUUCAGCUUAAGUUGUUUAUAGACAUUUUAUUAUUAUUAUUAUUAAUGGAAACAUCUGAGUGUCUAUUAAAAAGAGUAGAAAAAACUUGUAUUGGGUAAAUAACAAUAAAAACAUUAAAAAAAAAUAGGUCACUGGGGUAAACCUGAGAUUAUAAAAACUUUGGGAGUUCCUGUCGUGGCGCAGUGGUUAACGAAUCCGACUAGGAACCAUGAGGUUGCUGGUUCAAUCCCUGGCCUCACUCAGUGGGUUAAGGAUCUGGCGUUGCCGUGAGCUCUGGUGUAGGUUGCAGACGCGGCUCGGAUCCCGUGUUGCUGUGGCUCUGGCAUAGGCCGGUGGCUACAGCUCCAAUUAGACCCCUAGCCUGGGAACCUCCAUAUGCCGCAGGAGCGUCCUAAGAAAUGGCAAAAA